This 253-nucleotide ribosomal RNA is filed under the name uncultured bacterium. Its description in RNAcentral is "partial 16S ribosomal RNA". It matches the Rfam family "Bacterial small subunit ribosomal RNA", at positions 524 to 776 of the family's 1533-position model. The record is from RNAcentral.
UACGGAGGGUGCGAGCGUUAAUCGGAAUUACUGGGCGUAAAGCGCGCGUAGGCGGCGACGUAAGUCGGGGGUGAAAGCCUAUGGCUCAACGUUGGAAUUGCCUUUGAUACUGUAAUGCUUGAAAAGGGUUGAGGAGAGCGGAAUUCGGCGUGUAGCGGUGAAAUGCGUAGAUAUGGGAAAGAACAUCAGUUGCGAAGGCGGCCCUCUGGUCCUGUUCUGACGCUGAGGUGCGAAAGCGUGGGGAGCAAACAGG